UACGUAGGGUGCAAGCGUUAUCCGGAAUUAUUGGGCGUAAAGAGCUCGUAGGCGGUUUGUCACGUCUGCUGUGAAAACUGGAGGCUCAACCUCCAGCCUGCAGUGGGUACGGGCAGACUAGAGUGCGGUAGGGGAGAUUGGAAUUCCUGGUGUAGCGGUGGAAUGCGCAGAUAUCAGGAGGAACACCGGUGGCGGAAGGCGGA
RNAcentral lists this ribosomal RNA (203 nucleotides) under uncultured bacterium. RNAcentral describes it as "partial 16S ribosomal RNA". It matches the Rfam family "Bacterial small subunit ribosomal RNA", at positions 524 to 725 of the family's 1533-position model. The record is from RNAcentral.